UACCAGCUCUCCGAGUGGUGGGGAUGAUUAUUGGGCUUAAAGCGUCCGUAGCCGGCCUCUCAAGUCUCUCGUUAAAUCCAGCGAUUCAAUCGUUGGACUGCGGGAGAUACUGUCAGGCUAGGGGGCGGGAGAAGCCGACGGUAUUUUCGGGGUAGGGGUAAAAUCCUAUAAUCCCGGGAAGACCACCAGUGGCGAAGGCGGUCGGCUAGCACGCGCUCGACGGUGAGGGACGAAAGCUGGGGGAGCGAACCGGAUUAGAUACCCGGGUAGUCCCAGCUGUAAACGAUGCGGGCUAGGUGUUGAAGCGGCUACGAGCCGCUUCAGUGCCGCAGGGAAGCCAUUAAGCCCGCCGCCUGGGGAGUACGGCCGCAAGGCUGAAACUUAAAGGAAUUGGCGGGGGAGCACCACAAGGGGUGAAGCUUGCGGUUUAAUUGGAGUCAACGCCGGGAACCUUACCGGGGGCGACAGCAGAAUGAAAGCCAGAUUGAAGGUCUUGCUGGACGAGCUGAGAGGAGGUGCAUGGCCGUCGCCAGUUCGUGCCGUGAGGUGUCCUGUUAAGUCAGGCAACGAUCGAGACCCACACCCUCUGUUGCUACCGAGGAGUCUUCCAAGGGGCACUCUGAGGGGACUGCCGCCGACAAGGUGGAGGAAGGAGUGGGCCACGGCAGGUCAGUAUGCCCCGAAUCCCCCGGGCCACACGCGAGCUGCAAUGGCUGGGACAAUGAGUUCCAACCCCGAGAGGGGACGGUAAUCCCGAAACCCAGCCUCAGUUUGGAUCGAGGGCUGAAACCCGCCCUCGUGAAAAUGGAAUCCCUAGUAAUCGCGCGUCAUCAGCGCGCGGUGAAUACGUCCCUGCUCCU
This 860-nucleotide ribosomal RNA is filed under the name uncultured archaeon. RNAcentral's name for it is "SSU rRNA". It matches the Rfam family "Archaeal small subunit ribosomal RNA", at positions 474 to 1337 of the family's 1478-position model. The record is from RNAcentral.